CCCCAGCGCCACAAGUGGCAAUCACGAUUAUUGGGCCUAAAGCGUUCGUAGCCGGCAAAGUAAAUCUUUUGUGAAAUCGUCCCGCUUAACGGAACGGCGUGCAGGAGACACUGCUUUGCUUGAGACCGGGAGGGGUCAGAGGUAUUCGUGGGGGACUGGUAAAAUGGAUUAAUCCCACGAGGACCACCGAUGGCGAAGGCAUCUGACCAGAACGGAUCUGACGGUGAGGAACGAAAGCUAGGGGAGCAAACCGG
This 254-nucleotide ribosomal RNA is filed under the name uncultured bacterium. RNAcentral's name for it is "partial 16S ribosomal RNA". It matches the Rfam family "Archaeal small subunit ribosomal RNA", at positions 474 to 727 of the family's 1478-position model. The record is from RNAcentral.